This 624-nucleotide ribosomal RNA is filed under the name Phialophora verrucosa. RNAcentral's name for it is "LSU rRNA". It matches the Rfam family "Eukaryotic large subunit ribosomal RNA", at positions 34 to 664 of the family's 3401-position model. The record is from RNAcentral. Lineage: Eukaryota; Fungi; Ascomycota; Eurotiomycetes; Chaetothyriales; Herpotrichiellaceae.
UUUUGCAUAUCCAAAAAGCGGAGGAAAAGAAACCAACAGGGAUUGCCUCAGUAACGGCGAGUGAAGCGGCAACAGCUCAAAUUUGAAAUCUGGCCUCUCGGGGUCCGAGUUGUAAUUUGUAGAGGAUGUUUUGGGUACCGCCCCGGUUUAAAUUUCUUGGAACAGAAUGUCAAAGAGGGUGAGAAUCCCGUCUUGGACCGGCGGUAGGGCCUGUGUAAAACUCCUUCGACGAGUCGAGUUGUUUGGGAAUGCAGCUCAAAAUGGGUGGUAAAUUUCAUCUAAAGCUAAAUAUUGGCCAGAGACCGAUAGCGCACAAGUAGAGUGAUCGAAAGAUGAAAAGAACUUUGAAAAGAGAGUUAAACAGUAUGUGAAAUUGUUGAAAGGGAAGCGCUUGCAACCAGACUUGAGCGCGACGGUUCCCCUAGCCUUUUGGCUAGGCUACUCCGUCGUGUCCAGGCCAACAUCGGUUCUGAGGGUCGGUCAAAGGCCCCGGGAAUGUACCUACCCACGGGUAGACUUAUAGACCGGGGUGUCAUGCGGCCUCUCGGGACCGAGGAACGCGCUUCGGCUCGGAUGUUGGCGUAAUGGUUGUCAGCGACCCGUCUUGAACCCACGGGACCAAAA